AAUGUACUCCCUCCGUCCGGAAAUACUUGUCGUAGAAAUUGAUGAAAAUGAAUGCAUCUAGAACAAAAAUACAUCUAGAUACAUCCAUCUUCCCGACAAGUAUUUCCGGGCGGAGGGAGUAUAAU
This is a non-coding RNA of Triticum aestivum (bread wheat), 125 nucleotides long. NCBI's taxonomy places the organism in Eukaryota, Viridiplantae, Streptophyta, Magnoliopsida, Poales, Poaceae. The record is from Rfam.